CAGCCGCCACGGUAAUACGAAGGGGGCUAGCGUUGCUCGGAAUUACUGGGCGUAAAGGGAGCGUAGGCGGACAUUUAAGUCAGGGGUGAAAUCCCAGAGCUCAACUCUGGAACUGCCUUUGAUACUGGGUGUCUUGAGUGUGAUAGAGGUAUGUGGAACUCCGAGUGUAGAGGUGAAAUUUGUAGAUAUUCGGAAGAACACCAGUGGCGAAGGCGACAUACUGGAUCAUUACUGACGCUGAGGCUCGAAAGCGUGGGGAGCAAACAGGAUUAGAUACCCGCGUAGUCCCUGUCUCUUAUAC
RNAcentral lists this ribosomal RNA (301 nucleotides) under uncultured bacterium. RNAcentral's name for it is "partial 16S ribosomal RNA". It matches the Rfam family "Bacterial small subunit ribosomal RNA", at positions 509 to 807 of the family's 1533-position model. The record is from RNAcentral.